AUGUCUCAUCCGUCCAGCAGCGUGGAAGAGGCAGCGAAACGGAGAGCUCAAGAUGGCAAGAUGAGACGACAGGAAGGGGAUGAUCCCCAGCCGGAGGAGAAGAGGCUGAAGCUGGGGAAUGAAGGAGGAAGCUCUGGAAAGGAAGAAGCAAGAGGAGGAGGAGGAGGAGGAGGAGGAGGAGGAAGAGAAGGAGAAGAAGAAGGAGAGAGCAAGAGAAUGCCAUGCUUGAGUUGUGAAGAGUCUGGGACCCAGACGGAGGAAGAAGGCCCAACUCCUUAUAAAUCUGAAUCUAUGGAGUUGGCUCUCACUUCCAGGAACACUCCUCAAGGUCCAGAACCAGCUCUUACAGAAGUGAAAGGCUCUACUCUGUUCUUCCGAUGACAAGCCGUCCCUCGUCAAUUGAAUUUCCAUUUUUCAUUCUGCAGAAAGCCAAACAGCCAGCAAACCCAUUACUUAAGAGCAGAGCAAAGCAUGCAUUUGAAAAUACAAAUUGCUUAGCAGGAGAAUGCAUUUUUUUUUAAAAAAGGGGGGGUGCUAUUUAAAAAUAACACAGCGAGAGAGGGAGGAAGCCUGAGAAGCUAAAAACGUCAAACAGUUUCCAUUAACAUAAAACUCACACCACUUAAUGUUGAGCAGGAAUGCAGAACUUGUGUUCCGAUAUGUA
This 664-nucleotide long non-coding RNA is filed under the name Pogona vitticeps (central bearded dragon). Its description in RNAcentral is "lncRNA (ENSPVIG00000014457.1)". The record is from RNAcentral. Lineage: Eukaryota; Metazoa; Chordata; Lepidosauria; Squamata; Agamidae.